This 254-nucleotide ribosomal RNA is filed under the name uncultured bacterium. RNAcentral's name for it is "partial 16S ribosomal RNA". It matches the Rfam family "Bacterial small subunit ribosomal RNA", at positions 526 to 779 of the family's 1533-position model. The record is from RNAcentral.
CGGAAGGUCCGGCGUUAUCCGGAUUAUUGGGUUUAAGGGGAGCGUAGGCCGGAGAUUAAGCGUGUUGUGAAAUGUAGACGCUCAACGUCUGCACUGCAGCGCGAACUGGUUUCCUUGAGUACGCAUAAAGUGGGCGGAAUUCGUGGUGUAGCGGUGAAAUGCUUAGAUAUCACGAAGAACUCCGAUUGCGAAGGCAGCUCACUGGGGCGCAACUGACGCUGAAAGCUCGAAAGCGCGGGGUAUCGAACAGGAUU